AGGUGAAAGAGACAUUAACCCUUAGCUAUCUGUUUAUGACAAGGUGGGUAAAGUAAUGCAACUUUAUAAGAUACCUUUCAAAAAGGUAAAACUUAUUACUGUGAAAGGCGUACAAUACAGAGCUCAUUACAAUAAGGCUUGAGACCAAGCUGAAAUCUUUUACUAUCAUUUGACUUUCAACAGUGAGAGUAAGUGUUGCUGCUUGAACAUUAGCUUUCAUGUAAUUUGAUUCCUUCUCUAGGUUAGAUUUUUGCCUCUGGUACACUUUGAAACUAUUUUCGUCAUUUUUAAAAAUUGUUUUACAUCCUGCCCUAUUUACAGUAAUUCCCUGGACACCUAAAAUAGACGGUUUCCUUGCUUUAUUCCUUGUGCAAGCCCGCUGAGUUGUUCUAGAUUGCUCAUGAGUGUUGUGUUGGUGUAAAGUUUGAAAAAGAAAACAGCCAUGAAAUACUACUUCAAAAACAAAUACAGAAAAUUAUGAUACUUUACAAGUAUAAAGAUACAGAAAAGUCAGAUUUCUGGCAGUGCCUUUGUUAAAAUAUAUGCAUUCAAUGUACUUAAGUCCUACAUAUUUCUUAUCUUGUGUUACUAACAAAAUACCUAUUUAAACUUACUUCAUUUCACAUAAUAUUUUAAAGCAUUUGCCAUCUGUUGAAUUGACAGCCACGAAAAGUGCAUUCCUUUAUCCAUAGAGCAGAGAAAAGUCAUGCAAGUUUCCCUUCUGUACCCAACCAUAGUUAGUAUGUUUGUUUGUUCUAUCCCUGGCUCCUCUUACCUGCCUGCUGGUAAGACUAUGAAUUAAUGCCAAUUUUUGUUGUAAAGGUGAUGGUUUUGAUGAUGUGGACAGCUGAUGAAUUGGAGCCAGGCUGGGGCCACCAAUUCAUUUCACAUAAAUAUUUCUGUAAGCUUAAUGGAAGCCUCCCUAAAUUUGGACAACAGGGCCCAGAUUUUGAGACCUCUUUAUGAAAAAGCAUACGUAUUUGUAUGUUAAUUUGUACAUGCAGUUGCUGUAAUUGCUUAUGCAAGUCAACUGAUAGGCAUUUGUAUAAAGUGAAUAUGUAAUUAUUGCAUGCAAUUAUUGAUUGUGCGCACAAAUUAAGUGCAAAUCCAUGUGCACAACUUUGAAAAUGUUGGCCCAUGAUGUGUGAGCAUUUCAAGAAACUGUUGAUGUAUUAAUAUCAUUGCUCUUUAUGAGGUCCCCUUUGUGAUAUUUAUAAUGGAAAAGAGGUCUAGUCUCUCUAACAGGUCAUACUGAGAGGUGCCUGCAAAUCUCAGCUCAAGUUGCUCUCAAAUACAUUGUUUCCUGUGAUUUCCCUAAGCUUUAAAAUAAUAACUUUAUCAAGCUUUUCAUUAUGAAUGAAUGAAUGUAGCAAAGGCAUAAUUGGCCUCACUUCUGAGAGACUUUUUCCUCCUGUUCUACAGACUGCUAAAAUGAAUGAUUGGGGAUGAGAAUAACUGAGAACAAAAAGCUUGAUGGUUACUCUUAUGCGAGACCACUGUGGCUCAGCUAGUGAGGAUAAUAACAGUCUUCAGUGUUCCUAAUGUGUUCACCAAUCAGGGUCUUUUCAGAACUGUGUCCACAUUGUAUUGACCUAUACUAUAUAGCACAUCUCAGCUAUGAUGGAAAAUCACUCAGUUCUUUUGUCCAUUUAGAAUGAACGCAAACAAAAUGUGUGCUACCUGAACCUAAUAUUUAAGCAUGUGUAGGAAAUGCAGAAACCAGUUCUCAAGGCUGAAACUGAGAUGCCCAAGUACUGUAGAUACAGUAGUUACUCUCCAAAAAAGAAAAAGAUGUUUCUUGAUCAGGAUGGUUCCAUUUUUAUGGUGAAAUACUUCACUCACCAAUACCGAAGAUGGAGUUUAAGGUCCUGGUCCAGCAAAGCAUUUUGAGCAUAUGCCUAAACAGCUUUGAACAUCUGUGCCAUACAGUUGAAAGGCCAGAGUCUGAUACCAUGCCCAUGAGUGACCCCACUGAGUCAAUAAGGCUACUCUGCUAUGCUGCUUAACAUGGAUAAGGAAAUCAAAGUGGCUGUGAAUAAGGACAAGGUGUGACCGGGGCAGACCAACAGAGAGAAGUGAGGAGAACAUAGGAACAGAAAUAAACAAUACAAGUUAGUGGGAUUGCUUGGCAUUAUAAAACAUAUCUUGUUUGUGAUUUUUUUUUGGGUGCUGGGUUUUCAAGGGUGCUGGUCUGCUCCAUCUUUCCUCAGCCUCAAGCACUCUGUCUCAACAUACCACAUACCCAGGUAGCAGUCCCUGGACAAGAAGCAACAGCUAAAGAGGAAGGACCCGGAGGCAGGUCUGGGCCACAUGCCCCUCAGACAACAAAGUGGUUCUGAAGGAGGGAGCCCAAGAGCUGACUGGUUUGGGGGAAGGUGAGGCAUGAGAGAGGGAACAGGCUGAACCGCUCUAUAAUAUUUUUUUAUGGGAUGGGAGUUGGGUUUGAACAUUCCCUGGGUUUUUUGGCUUUUAACAGGCUGGGAUGUUGCCCUCCUCUUCUGAAAAAUUCAGCCUGUAUUUUCUAAAUUUCCUUUGCCGUCCUGGAAAACAACUAGGCUCCCUCCCUCGCAGGCCUGUCCUGCUUUUUGGAAUGCAAAGAGAGAGGUGCAGAAGCAGAGGACCCCAGACAGGAGAGGCUCUGAGAUCUGCUUGAACUAGUUGUGGUGGGAGGGAAGAGGGUUGCCAGCCCCAGCAUUAAUUGUGUAUGGGAGGGCCCACCUUUCCAUCCAGAAAUCCACCUUCUCCUUGUGCCCCGUGAAAGUCCCAGACAAGGAUUCUCUCCUUUCCUCACAUCCCCAGCUCCCUCCAAUGUGUAACAGAUUGCAAAGCUGGUUUAUUUAGAGUAUGAAAGUAUUUUUUAAAUCAGCUUUUAUACUUAAAAACUGUUAUAACAUUUCAGUUCUUCCAUGACCUGCAACAAAACCCAAGUAUUCCACACUGGGAGCAUUGGUCACGCAUUGUGAUGGUUUGUCUCUCACGGUGAUAGGACAAGGUUGAGAGGUAUGGGAUGGCAUUAUUUACAUGCAAGGUUAGAGACAAAAUGUAGGAGCGUGUAGUGGGGACAGGUGGCUGUGGGACAAGUAGGGGAUUGGACAGAUGGAAAAGUGAAGGGUUGUAGUUUGGGACAGCAGGGGUGCUAGAAGGAAAGUGAUUGGUGAUGAAAAGCAGAGAGUGGUGGGGAAAAGGAGUGAGGGAGAGGGAAGGUUAGGCUAUGAAAAAAGCAAAAAUCAGGAAGCAUGGUGAUAUGCAAGCACGAGGCAUAUGAAUGGAAAAUCUUGUUAGCAUUUUUUGCACUGAAUGGUUCUAAUGCUGCUAAGUUUGAUGAAUCUAGCACUUUUCCUGUGUAUUUUCACAAAUGAGUCAUCAGAAUUUUUUAAAGAAAAAUUAAACUACCAGAGAUGCUAAAAUCACACUUAUUUCCCUAUUGAUCUCUGCAUUAAAGGUAACAUGUUUCCAAGAA
Molecule: long non-coding RNA, 3460 nt
Organism: Gopherus evgoodei (Goodes thornscrub tortoise)
Lineage: Eukaryota; Metazoa; Chordata; Testudines; Testudinidae
Exons: 2
Source: RefSeq, a predicted model, not a curated record